RNAcentral lists this ribosomal RNA (604 nucleotides) under uncultured Actinomycetes bacterium. RNAcentral's name for it is "bacterial SSU rRNA". It matches the Rfam family "Bacterial small subunit ribosomal RNA", at positions 8 to 620 of the family's 1533-position model. The record is from RNAcentral. Lineage: Bacteria; Bacillati; Actinomycetota; Actinomycetes.
AGAGUUUGAUCCUGGCUCAGGACGAACGCUGGCGGCGCGCCUAAUGCAUGCAAGUCGAGCGACGCAUUCCUUGCCCGUAAGGGCGGGUUUGACGGAGCGGCGAACGGGUGCGUAACACGUGACCAAUCUGCCCCGAAGACCGGGAUAGCCCGGGGAAACUCGGAUUAAUACCGGAUGAUCUCACCACGACGCAUGUCGUAGUGAGCAAAGGUUCAGGCGCUUCGGGAUGAGGUCGCGGCCCAUCAGCUCGUUGGUGAGGUAACGGCUCACCAAGGCAACGACGGGUAGCUGGUCUGAGAGGACGAUCAGCCACACUGGAACUGAGAUACGGUCCAGACUCCUACGGGAGGCAGCAGCAGGGAAUCUUGCGCAAUGGGCGAAAGCCUGACGCAGCGACGCCGCGUGGGGGAUGAAUGCCUUAGGGUUGUAAACCCCUUUCACGAGGGAAGAAACUGACGGUACCUCGAGAAGAAGCCCCGGCCAACUACGUGCCAGCAGCCGCGGUAACACGUAGGGGGCGAGCGUUGUCCGGAUUUAUUGGGCGUAAAGGGCUCGUAGGCGGCUUGACAAGUCGGCCGUGAAAGUCCAGGGCUCAACCUGGGAA